Orcinus orca (killer whale) is the source of this 8563-nucleotide long non-coding RNA. RefSeq lists it as uncharacterized. The record is from RefSeq and is a predicted model, not a curated record. Lineage: Eukaryota; Metazoa; Chordata; Mammalia; Artiodactyla; Delphinidae. The transcript is spliced from 2 exons.
AGCGCAGCAACAGCGGUGCGGAGGGCAAAGGGGGGGAUUCCCGCACAGAGGAUCGGUGCCGACCGGCACUCAACCAGCCCGAGAGGCUUGUCUGCUCACCCGCCGGGGUGGGCGGGGCUGCGAGCUGAGGCUCGGGCUUUGGUCGGAACGCAGGGAGAGGACUGGGGUUGGCGGCGUGAACACAGCCUUAAGGGGUUAGUGCACCACGGCUAGCCGGGAGGGAGUCCGGGAAAAGGGCUGGAGCUGCCGAAGAGGCAAGAGACUUUUUCUUCCCUCUUUGUUUCCUGGUGCGUGAGGAGAGAGGAUUAAGAGCGCUGCUUAAAGGAGCUCCAGAGAUGGGCGCGAGCCGCGGCUAAAAACGCGGACCCAAGAGACGGGCAGGAGACGCUAAGGCUGCUGCUGCCGCCGCCAAGAAGCCUGUGUGCAAGCACAGGUCACUAUCCACACCUCCUUUCCGGGGAGCCUGUGCAGCCCGCCACUGCCAGGUUCCCGGGAUCCAGGGACAACUUCCCCAGGAAAACGCACGGCACGCCUCAGGCUGGUGCAACGUCACACCGGCCUCUGCCGCCACAGGCUCGCCCCGCACUCCGGCCCUUCCCCGCCCCCCGGCCUGAGUGAGCUGGAGCCCCUGAAUCAGCGGCUCCUUUAACCCUGUCUUGUCUGAGCGGAAAACAGACGCCCUCCGGCGACCUACACGCAGAGGCGGGGCCAAAUCCAAAGCUGAGCCCCUGGGAGCUGUGAGAACAAAGAAGAGAAAGGGAAAUCUCUCCCAGCAGCCUCAGAAGCAGUGGAUUAAAGCUCCACAAUCAACUUGAUGUACCCUGCAUCUGUGGAAUACAUGAAUAGACAACGAAUCAUCCCAAAUUGAGGAGGUGGACUUUGAGAGCAAGAUUUAUGAUUUUUUCCCCUUCUCCUCUUUUUGUGAGUGUGUAUGUGUAUGCUUCUGUAUGAAAUAUUGUCUGUAUAGCUUUGCUUCCACCAUUUGUCCUAAGGUUCUAUCCGUCCAUUUUGUUUUUUUAAUUUUUUUCUUAAUAAUUAUUUUUUAAUUUAAUAACUUUAUUAUAUUUUACUCUAUUUUAUUUUACUUUAUCUUCCUUCUUUCUUUUUUCCUUCCUUCCCUCCUUUCUUCCUUCCUUCCUUCCUCCCACUGUCUCUCCCUCCCUCCUUCCUUUUUCUUUCUUUCCUUCUUUUCUUCUUUCUUCCUUCCUUCCUUCCUUUCUUUCUCUCUUUCUUUCUUCCUACUUAUACUAAUUCUUUCUCUCUACUUUUACUCCCUUUUAUUCUGAGCCGUGUGGAGGAAAGGCUCUUGUUGCUGCAGCCAGGAGUCAGUGCUGUGCCUCUAAGGUGGGAGAGCCAACUUCAGGACACUAGUCAACAAGAGACCUCCGAGCUCCACAUAUCAAAUGGUGAAAAUAUCCCAGAGAUCUCCAUCUCAACACCAGCACCCAACUUCACUCAACGACCAGCAAGCUACAGGGCUGGACACCCUAUGCCAAACAACUAGCAAAACAGGAACACAACCCCACCCAUUAGCAGAGAGGCUGUCUAAAACCAUAAUAAGUCCACAGACACCCCAAAACACACCACCAGACGUGGACCUGCCCACCAGAGAGACAAGAUCCAGCCUCAUCCACCAGAACACAGGCACUAGUCCCCUCCACCAGGAAGCCUACACAACCUGAACCAACCUUAGCCACUGGGGACAGAUACCAAAAACAACGGGAACUACGAACCUGCAGCCUUUAAAAAGGAGACCCCAAACACAGUAAGAUAAGCAAAAUGAGAAGACAGAAAAACACACAGCAGAUGAAGGAGCAAGAUAAAAACCCACCAGACCUAACAAAUGAAGAGGAAAUAGGCAGUCUACCUGAAAAAGAAUUCAGAAUAAUGAUAAUAAAGAUGAUCCAAAAGCUUGGAAAUAGAAUAGACAAAAUGAAAGAAACAUUUAACAAGGACCUAGAAGAACUAAAGAUGAAACAAACAACGAUGAACAACACAAUAAAUGAAAUGAAAAAUACUCUAGAUGGGAUCAAUAGCAGAAUAACUGAGACAGAAGAACGGAUAAGUGACCUGGAAGAUAAAAUAGGGGAAAUAACUAAUGCAGAGCAGAAUAAAGAAAAAAGAAUGAAAAGAACUGAGGACAGUCUCAGAGACCUCUGGGACAACAUUAAACACACCAACAUUCGAAUUAUAGGGGUUCCAGAAGAAGAAGAGAAAAAGAAAGGGACUGAGAAAAUAUUUGAAGAGAUUAUAGUUGAAAACUUCCCUACUAUGGGAAAGGAAAUAGUUAAUCAAGUCCAAGAAGCACAGAGAGUCUCAUACAGGAUAAAUCCAAGGAGAAAUACGCCGAGACACAUAUUAAUCAAACUGUCAAAAAUUAAAUACAAACAAAGCAUAUUAAAAGCAGCAAGGGAAAUACAACAAAUAACACACAAGGGAAUCCCCAUAAAGUUAACAGCUGAUCUUUCAGCAGAAACUCUGCAAGCCAAAAGGGACUGGCAGGACAUAUUUAAAGUGAUGAAGGAGAGAAACCUGCAACCAAGAUUACUCUACCCAGCAAGGAUCUCAUUCAGAUUUGAUGGAGAAAUUAAAACCUUUACAGACAAGCAAAAGCUGAGAGAGUUCAGCACCACCAAACCAGCUUUACAACAAAUGCUAAAGGAACUACUCUAGGCAAGAAACACAAGAGAAGGAAAAGACCUCCAAUAACAAACCCAAAACAAUUAAGAAAAUGGGAAUAGGAACAUAUAUAUCGAUAAUUACCUUAAAUGUAAAUGGACAAAAUGCUCCCACCAAAAGACACAGAUUGGCUGAAUGGAUACAAAAACAAGACCCAUAUAUAUGCUGUCUACAAGAGACCCACUUCAAACCUAGAGCCACAUACAGACUUAAGUAAGGGGAUGGAAAAAGAUAUUCCAUGCAAAUGGAAACCAAAAGAAAGCUGGAGUAGCAAUUCUCAUAUCAGACAAAAUACACUUUAAAAUAAAGACUAUUACAAGAGACAAAGAAGAACACUACAUAAUGAUCAAGGGAUCGAUCCAAGAAGAAGAUAUAACAAUUGUAAAUAUUUAUGCACCCAACAUAGGAGCACCUCAAUACAUAAGGGAAAUACUAACAGCCAUAAAAGGGGAAAUCGACAGUAACACAUUCGUACUAGGGGACUUUAACACCCCACUUUCACCAAUGGACAGAUCAUCCAAAAUGAAAAUAAAUAAGGAAACACAAGCUUUAAAUGAUACAUUAAACAAGAUGGACUUAAUUGAUAUUUAUAGGACACUCCAUCCAAAAUCAACAGAAUACACAUUUUUCUCAAUUGCUCAUGGAACAUUCUCCAGGAGAGAUCAUAUCUUGGGUCACAAAUCAAGCCUUGGUAAAUUUAAGAAACUUGCAAUCAUAUCAAGUAUCUUUUCUGACCACAAGGCUAUGAGACUAGAUAUCAAUUACAGGAAAAGAUGUGUAAAAAAAACAAACACAUGGAGGCUAAACAAUACACUACUUAAUAACGAAGUGAUCACUGAAGAAAUCAAAGAGGAAAUCAAAAAAUACCUAGAAACAAAUGACAAGGGAGACACGACGACCAAAACCUAUGGGAUGCAGCAAAAGCAGUUCUAAGAGGGAAGUUUAUCGCAAUACAAUCCUACCUUAAGAAACAGGAAACAUCUCAAAUAAACAACCUAACCUUGCACCGAAAUUAAUUAGAGAAAGAAGAACAAAAAAACCCCAAAGUUAGCAGAAGGAAAGAAAUCAUAAAGAUCAGAUCAGAAAUGAAUGAAAAAGAAAUGAAGGAAACAAUAGCAAAGAUCAAUAAAACUAAUGGCUGGUUCUUUGAGAAGAUAAACAAAAUUGAUAAAGCAUUAGGAAGACUCUUCAAGAAAAAAAGGGAGAAGACUCAAAUCAAUAGAAUUAGAAAUGAAAAAGGAGAAGUAACAACUGACACUGCAGAAAUACAAAGGAUCAUGAGUGAUUACUACAAGCAACUGUAUGCCAAUAAAAUGAACAACCUGGAAGAAAUGGACAAAUUCUUAGAAAUGCACACCCUGCCGAGACUGAACCAGGAAGAAAUAAAAACUAUGAACAGACCAAUCACAAACACUGAAAUUGAAACUGUGAUUAAAAUUCUUCCAACAAACAAAAGCUCAGGACCAGAUGUCUUCACAGGCGAAUUCUAUCAAACACUUAGAGAAGAGUUAACACCUAUCCUUCUCAAACUCUUCCAAAAUAUAGCAGAGGGAGGAACACUCCCAAACUCAUUCUACGAGGCCACCAUCACCCUGAUACCAAAACCAGACAAAGAUGUCACAAAGAAAGAAAACUACAGGCCAAUAUCACUGAUGAACAAAGAUGCAAAAAUCCUCAACAAGAUACUAGCAAAGACAAUCCAACAGCACAUUAAAAGGAUCAUACACCAUGAUCAGGUGGGGUUGAUUCCAGGAAUGCAAGGAUUCUUCAAUAUACACAAAUCAAUCAACGUGAUACACCAUAUUAACAAAUUGAAGGAGAAAAACCAUAUGAUCAUCUCAAUAGAUGCAGAGAAAGCUUUUGACUAAGUUCAACACACACUUAUGAUAAAAACCCUGCAGAAAGUAGGCAUAGAGGGAACUUUCCUCAACAUAACAAAGGCCAUAUAUGACAAAUCCACAGCCAACAUCAUCCACAAUGGUGAAAAACUGAAACCAUUCCCACUAAGAUCAGGAACAAGACAAGGUUGCCCACUCUCACCACUGUUAUUCAACAUAGCUUUGGAAGUUUUAGCCACAGCAAUCAGAGACGAAAAAGAAAUAAAUGGAAUCCAAAUCAGAAAAGAAGAAGUAAAGCUGUCACUCUUUGCAGAUGACAUGAUACUAUCCAUAGAGAAUCCUAAAGAUGCUACCAGAAAACUACUAGAGCUAAUCUAUGAAUUUGGUGAAGUAGCAGGAUACAAAAUUAAUGCACAGAAAUCUCUGGCAUUGUUAUACACUAAUGAUGAAAAAUCUGAAAGUGAAAUUAAGAAAACACUCCCAUUUACCACUGCAACAAAAAGAAUAAAAUAUCUAGGAAUAAACCUACAUAAGGAGCCAAAAGACCUGUAUGCAGAAAAUUAUGAUACUGAUGAAAGAAAUUAAAGAUGAUACAAAUAGAUGGAGAGAUAUACCAUGUUCUUGGAUUGGAAGAAUCAACAUUGUGAAAAUGACUCUACUACCCAAAGCAAUCUACAGAUUCAAUGCAAUCCCUAUUAAACUACCACUGGCAUUUUUCACAGAACUAGAACAAAAAGUUUCACAAUUUGUAUGGAAACACAAAAGACCCCGAAUAGCCAAAGCAAUCUUGAGAACGAAAAAUGGAGCUGGAGGAAUCAGGCUCCCUGAUUUCAGACUAUACUACAUAGCUACAGUUAUUAAGACAGUAUGGUACUGGCACAAAAACAGAAAUAUAGAUCAGUGAAACAGGAUAGAAAGCCCAGAGAUAAACCCACGCACAUAUGGUCACCUUAUCUUUGAUAAAGGAGGCAAGAAUAUACAGUGGAGGGCUUCCCUGGUGGCACAGUGGUUGAAAGUCCGCCUGCCAAUGCAGGCGACACGGGUUCGUGCCCUGGUCCAGUAAGAUCCCACAUGCCAUGGAGCAGCUAGGCCCAUGAGUCCUGGCUGCUGAUCCUGUGCAUCUGGAGCCUGUGCUCCACAACACGAGAGGCCACAACAGUGAGAGGCCCUCGUACCAAAAAAAAACCCAAAAAAACAGAAUAUGCAGUGGAGAGGAGACAGCCUCUUCAAUAAGUGGUGCUGGGAAAACUGGACAGCUACAUGUAAAAGUAUGAUAUUAGAACACUCCCUAACACCAUACAAAAAAAUAAGCUCAAAAUGGAUUAAAGACCUAAAUGUUAGGCCAGAAGCUAUCAAAGUCUUAGAGGAAAACAUAGGCAGAACACUCUAUGACAUAAAUCACAGAAAGAUCCUUUAUCACCCAUCUCCUAGAGAAAUGGAAAUAAAAAUAAACAAAUGGGACCUAAUGAAACUUCAAAGCUUUUGCACAGCAAAGGAACCAUAAACAAGACCAAAAGACAACCCUCAGAAUGGCAGAAAAUAUUUGCAAAUGAAGCAACUGACAAAGGAUUAAUCUCCAAAAUUUACAAGCAGCUCAUGCAGCUCAAUAACAAAAAAAGAAACAACCCAAUCCAAAAAUGGGCAGAAGACCUAAAUAGACACUUUUCCAAAGAAGAUAUACAGAUUGCCAACACACACAUGAAAGAAUGCUCAACAUCAUAAUCAUUAGAGAAAUGCAAAGCAAAACUACAAUGAGAUAUCAUCUCACACCGGCCAUCAUCAAAAAAUCUAGAAACAAUAAAUGCUGGAGAGGGUGUGGAGAAAAGGGAACAUUCUUGCACUAUUGGUGGGAAUGUAAAUUGACACAAGCCACUAUGGAGAACAUAUGGAGGUUCCUUAAAAAACUACAAAUAGAACGACCAUACGACCCAGCAAUCCCACUACUGGGCAUAUACCCUGAGAAAACCAUAAUUCAAAAAGAGUUAUGUACCAAUAUGUUCAUUCCAGCUCUAUUUACAAUAGCCAGGACAUGGAAGCAACCUAAGUGUCUAUCGACACAUGAAUGCAUAAAGAAGAUGUCGCACAUAUAUACAAUGGAAUAUUACUCAGCCAUAAAAAGAAACGAAAUUGAGUUAUUUGUAGUGAGGUGGAUGGACCUAGAGUCUGUCAUACAGAGUGAAGUAAGUCAGAAAGAGAAAAACAAAUAACAUAUGCUGACACAUAUGUAUGGAAUCUAAGGAAAAAAAAGUCAUGAAGAACCUAGGGGUAAGACAGGAAUAAAGACACAGACCUACUAGAGAAUGGACUUGAGGAUAUGGGGAGGGGGAAGGGUAAGCUGUGACAAAGUGAGAGAGUGGCAUGGACAUAUAUACACUACCAGACGUAAAAUACAUAGCUAGUGGGAAGUAGCCGCAUAGCACAGGGAGAUCAACUUGGUGGUUUGUGACCACCUAGAAGGGUGGGAUCGGGAGGGUGGGAGGGAGGGAGAUGCAAGAGGGAAGAGAUAUGGGAACAUAUGUAUAUGUAUAUCUGAUUCACUUUGUUAUAAAGCAGAAACUAACACACCAUUGUAAAGCAAUUAUACUCCAAUAAAGAUGUUUUUUAAAAAAAGUAAAUUACAAAUAGGGUGGUUAUAUGCUAUGAAGACAAAACCAGAGGAAAUGGGGUAAUGUCAGGCCGUGGGUAUUACUAUUUUAAAUAGGAUGGUUAAGAAAGAUCUCACCAAAUAGAGCCAUUUGAACAGUGACUGGAGGAGAUCUGGAAGCAAGUUCUGUGUGUAUUUGAAGAGCAGCAUUCCAGGCAACAAAGAGUGUUCAAAGGCUGAGACAGAUAUGGCCUUAGCCUAUUUAAGAAAGAGCAAAGAACCUUGUGUCUUGAGCACAGUGGGAAUAUAUAAGAAAAAAAAAUUGUUCUGACAGAAGACUGGUAUCCAGAUUAUGGAAAGAACUCCAACUCAAAAAUUAUGAGACAACCUAAUUAAGAAAAGGAGAUAUUUUUGAACACACUUCACAAAAGAUAUAUGAAAAGCCAAUAGAAACUUGAAAACAUGCUCAACAUCAUUAGUCAUCAGGGAAAUACAAAUUAAAAACAUAAUGAGAUACUACUACAUACCCGUAAGAUGACUAAAAUUUAAAAUACCUUAAAAAUUUUAAAUACCAAGUGUUGUCAGACAUGCAGGACUGGAACACUCACAUGUUGCUAGUCUGAGUAUAAAAUAGUAUAACCACUUUGGAGAAGAGUUUGGCAGUUUCUUAAGAAAUUAAAUGUAUUCUUACCAUACGCAGCAGUUUCACUCCUUGGUAUUUACCCAGAAGUGAAAACGUGUCCACACAAAGGCUUGAACGUGAAUGUUCAUAGCAACUUGACUCAUAAUAGUCCCAAACUGGAAACAACCCAAUGCCCAACAACACAUCAAUGGAUAAACAAAUUGUGGUAAAUUCAUGUCAUGAAAUACUAUUCAGUAAUAAAAGGAAUGAAUAUACUUGCAACAAUACUUGCAACAUGGAUGUAUCUAAAAACAUGCUCAGCAAAAAAGCAAGAAACUAAAAUUAUGUUACUGUAUGAUUCCAUUUCUAUAAAACUAUAGGAAUUGCAAAUUUAUUCUAGAGUGACUGAAAGCAAAUUAGUGGUUGCUAGGAAUGGGCAAGUGGGAGACAGUGACUGAAAAGAACACCCAAGGGAACCUUUGCAGUGAAGCCAAUGUUCUAUAUCUUGAUGUGGUGUUAGUUAAAAGGGAGUAUGAAUUUGUCAAAAUUCAUCAAAUUAUGUACUUUUAAAGAGUACAUUUUAUAAAAUUAUGCCUCAGUAAAGUCAAUUAAAAAAUAGACGUAGAGGGCUUCCCUGGUGGCACAGUGGUUGAGAGUCUGCCUGCCGAUGCAGGGGAUGCGGGUUCGUGCCCCGGUCCGGGAAGAUCCCACAUGCCGCGGAGCGGCUGGGCCCGUGAGCCAUGGCCGCUGAGCCUGCGCGUCCGGAGCCUGUGCUCCGCAACGGGAGAGGCCACAACAGUGAGAGGCCCACGUACCGCAAAAAAAAAAAAAAAAAAAUAG